AAACCAGCACCUCAAGUGGUCAGGAGGAUUAUUGGGCCUAAAGCAUCCGUAGCCUGAUCUAUAAGUUUCCGGUUAAAUCCAAAUGCUCAACAUUUGGGCUGCCGGAAAAACUGUAGAUCUAGGGAGUGGGAGAGGUAGACGGUACUCGGUAGGAAGGGGUAAAAUCCUUUGAUCUAUUGAUGACCACCAGUGGCGAAGGCGGUCUACCAGAACACGUUCGACGGUGAGGGAUGAAAGCUGGGGGAGCAAACCGGAUUAGAAACCCCAGUAGUCC
Molecule: ribosomal RNA, 274 nt
Filed under: uncultured bacterium
Lineage: Bacteria
Description: partial 16S ribosomal RNA
Rfam family: Archaeal small subunit ribosomal RNA
Source: RNAcentral